CACACACACACACACACACACACACACACACACACACACGUUCACCUUCUCUGGAAUUCUAAUCAGACACACCUGUUUCCAAUCUCACACACACACUCACACCACAGUAUAUAAGAGACUGUUCAAAUGCUAUGACUUUGCAUAGUAUUGAGUUUUUCUCAUACCAAGCGAUUGUUCUUUGUUUCUUGUUUCGUUUCAUUGUUCGCUGACCUCGUUUCUUGACUCUGAUUAUUGCCUCACCCUAUUUAUGCCUGCUUGCUGAUCGCCUGACCUUUUGCAUGUUUUUGGACCAUGCUUUGGAUUACUAAUUUGGAUUUGUCUGCCUAUCUCUCUAAUAUAGUUUUUUUUUUACUGCAAUUGCAUCCGUCCUCAACUCCCUUACUUUCUGGAAUGUGACAGUUUCCAAUAUCUCUCCUUGUAGCACUCCAGUCAUUCCAUAUAUUUGUUAAAUUCCAUCACCUGCACAUCUGAUUAAUCUUAAUUAGAUACCGAUUAGGAGAAAUUGGUGUAAUAGUCAUGGAAUUUAGCAGCUAAAUGGAUGUAUUAGAUGGUAAUUAAUAAUACCAUGAGAAACUGGGCAUGUCAAAGGCAGGAAAUGUAGAUGAACACCCUAAAGCCUGACUCUUAAAAGCAAUUUUCUUAAGGUACAGUAAGAAACACAGCCAAAUGCUUGAACAGCAUCUGGCAGUGUUACCUGGCACCAAAAUACAUGCUUUGACUUCUGUGGAAAAGCUAAGCAUGAGUGAUUGUACUAUGUUGAAAACCUUAAAGCAUAACCAACAAUCAGAGGCAGAACUGGAAUUUUGAGAUUUUGAUUCAUAAAGGUGUGAGUAUGACAGGAGAACUACAAGCCUGCAUGUCGGCACUUUUUUGUGAACCAUAAUGAUGUCUGUUUCAGUAUGGCAAUGCACCUGUUAAAAAUCAAUCAAAUAAUAAUCUAACAAUAUAAACUGAUUUCGAUACAUUUCUUUGGGAAAAUGAUCUACUGCUCAAAGCUUCUGCGUGAUAAUGUUAAUCACCAAUCCCACUCCAAACAGGUUUAAGGCUUAGUCUGAACUGAAAGUCAGAUUGGUUAAUUACUGGUAUUAAGUAUCUGAGAUCAACAUAAGGAAAGGAAAAGCAGCCAAGACUGUCAUGAUUAUUAAAAAAUAUUUUGCAGAGCAAUAUUGCAGUUUUGCUUUCUUACACUAUAAUACUUCAAUUUAAUACCUUUUAUAACACAGCUGUUAUAUAUAAGUAUAAUAUAUGUGUGUGUGUAUAAGGGAAGAGAGAAAAUGAGGGGGAAAAGGUAAGUUUUUUUUUUUUAGGUGAAGGCGAGCAUAUAUAAUAUAUAUAGGUCCUUCUUCCUCUGUGAGAAACAAACUUUGUUUAAUGAAGACCGGCAGACUGCCAAAACUCUGCCCUCCUUCACCUCCAGUGAUAAUUACUCGCCCUCCUUCUGCUUCCCCUUCAUCUCUUUUCACUUCACUCCUUCUGUUUUUGUUCAUCUUGAUCUUCUGCCUUUUUUCCCCCUCCUUUUCUCUCAUCCCUUCCCACGUUUCUUUCUCUCCCAGGCCCAGUCUUAUCCUCAUUCUGUCAUCAGGGAAAAGGAACUGUAACCUUGAGCUGUGGCACAAGUCCC
Ictalurus punctatus (channel catfish) is the source of this 1621-nucleotide long non-coding RNA. The record is from Ensembl. Lineage: Eukaryota; Metazoa; Chordata; Actinopteri; Siluriformes; Ictaluridae.